RNAcentral lists this long non-coding RNA (408 nucleotides) under Setaria italica (foxtail millet). RNAcentral describes it as "long non-coding RNA (SITA_LNC000180)". Lineage: Eukaryota; Viridiplantae; Streptophyta; Magnoliopsida; Poales; Poaceae. The record is from RNAcentral.
CAUCUGACUGAUCAGGUUUGUGAUCCCUUGAAACAGCAAUCGCUGCAGGUCAAAAUGAGAAAAGCAUCAGUAAACUGUUGACUAUCAAGUGCAAUGCGAGUAACUUUGAAUCCUGCUAUUCAGUUUAUCUAUGCAUCAUGGGGAAAUACUUGACCAGGAAAAGAUAUAGCACAUAAUAAUUUGAAAGCUUCUGAUGGAAGUGGAAGCAUAGGAACACAAGACACUGAGAUAUAGUGCAAUGCGAGUAACUUUGAAUCCUGCUAUUCAGUUUAUCUAUGCAUCAUGGGGAAAUACUUGACCAGGAAAAGAUAUAGCACAUAAUAAUUUGAAAGCUUCUGAUGGAAGUGGAAGCAUAGGAACACAAGACACUGAGAUAUGUUAUGUUACAGACAAUAACUUACCCUGUCC